UACGUAGGGUGCGAGCGUUAAUCGGAAUUACUGGGCGUAAAGCGUGCGCAGGCGGUUUUUUAAGCCAGAUGUGAAAGCCCCGGGCUUAACCUGGGAAUGGCAUUUGGGACUGCAAGGCUUGAGUGCGGCAGAGGAGACUGGAAUUCCUGGUGUAGCAGUGAAAUGCGUAGAUAUCAGGAGGAACACCAAUUGCGAAGGCAGCUCGCUGGGACGUUACUGACGCUGAGACGCGAAAGCGUGGGGAGCAAACAGG
This 253-nucleotide ribosomal RNA is filed under the name uncultured bacterium. Its description in RNAcentral is "partial 16S ribosomal RNA". It matches the Rfam family "Bacterial small subunit ribosomal RNA", at positions 524 to 776 of the family's 1533-position model. The record is from RNAcentral.